This 433-nucleotide ribosomal RNA is filed under the name uncultured bacterium. Its description in RNAcentral is "partial 16S ribosomal RNA". It matches the Rfam family "Bacterial small subunit ribosomal RNA", at positions 381 to 807 of the family's 1533-position model. The record is from RNAcentral.
GUCUGACGGAGCACGCCGCGUGAGCGAUGAAGGCCUUCGGGUCGUAAAGCUCUGUUGUUAGGGAAGAACAAGUACCGUAGUAACUGGGCGGACCUUGGCCGGACCUAACCCGAAAGCCACCGGUAACUACCUGCCCGCCGCCCCCGUAAUACCUAAGUGGGAAGCCUUUUCCGGAAUUAUUGGGCGUAAAGCGCCCGCCGGGGGGUUCUUUAGUCCGAAGUGAAAGCCCCCGGGUCCACCGGGGAAGGGCAUUUGAAACUGGGGGACUUGAAUGCCAAAAAAGAAAAGGGGAUUCCCAGUGUUACGGUGAAAUGGCUAAAAAUUUGGAAGAACCCCCGUGGGCAAAGGGGCUUUCUGGGCUGUAACUGAACCUUAAGGCCCAAAGCCUGGGGAACCAACAAGAAUAAAAUCCCCGGGAGUCCACCCCGUAAAC